This 52-nucleotide microRNA precursor is filed under the name Felis catus (domestic cat). Its description in RNAcentral is "mir-1302 microRNA precursor family". It matches the Rfam family "mir-1302 microRNA precursor family". The record is from Rfam by way of RNAcentral. Lineage: Eukaryota; Metazoa; Chordata; Mammalia; Carnivora; Felidae.
AAUUUAGUAUAAGUAUGUCCCAUGCAAUAUUUGGAACAUACUUACACUAAUU